RNAcentral lists this transfer RNA (85 nucleotides) under Treponema sp. RNAcentral's name for it is "tRNA-Ser". It matches the Rfam family "tRNA". From Rfam's summary of the family: Transfer RNA (tRNA) molecules are approximately 80 nucleotides in length. Their secondary structure includes four short double-helical elements and three loops (D, anti-codon, and T loops). The record is from RNAcentral. RNAcentral also lists the same sequence under 3 other names. Lineage: Bacteria; Pseudomonadati; Spirochaetota; Spirochaetia; Treponematales; Treponemataceae.
GGAGGUGUGGUAGAGCGGUAAUACAACGGAUUGCUAAUCCGUCAGUUCCUUACGGGCUGGGCAGGUUCAACUCCUGUCGCCUCCG